CACUUCUCCACCAUAGUCAGAGCUCAUUAUGUAGGCACAGAUACAUUGAUGAUAAUAUGGUGGCUUUGUAAUAGGUAAUUUUAAUUUACAUCCUUCCUUACAGCAUGGGAGACUUGACUGAAUUCCUGAAACAAAGAGAAGUCUCUGAGGAAAUUAUACAGACCUUGGAGAAUGAGAAGAUUGAUGCCAGUGUCAUAAGUCUAAUGACAGAUGAGGAGCUGAAGACUUAUUUGCCAUCAUAUGGUGAUCGUCUAGCAGUAUUUGGAUUUUGCAGACGGAGGGGCAGCAGCCGCAAGUCAGCGCUUUUUGAACGGCUGAAAUCCAAAGCGUCCAAAAGAAAAUUAUCUGAAGAGGAUGGCAGUAGCACACGGCAAGAAGAACAUUCCCAAACAACCCAUAAAAGAAAUGCUCUGAAGAGAAAUAGAAAAAUAGAAAUAGGAUGGAUGCAUUAUGAUGAAGACACUGAGGUUUUCAAGCAGGUUAGAGCUAGACGAGGAGGAGGAACAAGAAAAAUAGACAUUUGCAAGGAUGCCAAGAAAAGGGACAUAUUACAGGUUGCAACAGGCCUGUUCUUUCCAGAUGGAGGAAACAUUCAGGGGCCCUUAACAGAUUUUGACUGUGAUCUGAAGGAUUAUCAAGAGAUGAUAGUCGAUGAUGCAUUGACAGUAGGAGAACUUUAUCAUGUCACAAAACUAAAUAUCCGCAGGUUCUACCUCACCACAAAGAAAAAACAAAAUGACAGCCUUCAGAGUUCCAGCCCGAGUUUGCAUCCAUCUUCAGAAAUUGAAGACAGUCCUCAAAACCAAACCUCUUCUUUUACUGUCACUACAGUCCAAACAUCUGCUCCAUUUGAAACAGUCAGCCAUGAUGUGACAUACAUUGAAGACACUCCAAACGAUAACCUUCCACAAUCUUCCACGCAGUCUCUAAGUGCUAACACUUCUCACAGCAGUGACAUUAUUUUUGUUGGCCCCUUUUCUGACAGUGAGCCAAUAAAUUUGGAUGACACCCUGAUUUUUUCUCCACACCCUGGUCCAUCCAGUGAGAGAGUGAGGAGAGUAGUGGUGGUCCACAGAGGGCAGGUAAUGUCAGAGCUCAUUUCACAUUUUAGUGAUAAGGACCUUGAAGAUGUCGACAUCAAAAUCCAGAUCGUACUGCCUGAUGGAACACCUGAAAUGGCCCAUGACGAUGGGGGAGUUGUGAGAGAUUGUCUUUCAGAAUUCUGGAAAGAAUUCUAUGACCAGUGCACCACUGGAAAUGUUUACAAAGUGCCCUUCUUAAGGCAUGAUUUUGGGCAACAGGAGUGGGAGAGUGUGGGCAGAAUCAUUGCAUUUGGAUGGGUUAGAGAGAAAUAUCUGCCUGUGAAAAUUGCACCUGCCAUUCUAGAACAAGCUGCCUUUGAUAAGAUAAGAUAAGAUAAUUCUUUAUUGUCAUUGCACAGUCAUACAUAGUACAGUAGUACAAUGAAAUUGGAAAAACUGUCCUACGUCGGUACUACAUAUAACACAACACGACACGAUAUGACACAUCACAACGCAACACAAACAACACAACACAGUAUAUUAACUUAGAAAUAAAAAAGAAGAAUAAGUGUUAUGUGUAUUGCACCUGUUAUUAUUGCACAUUAAUUAUUAUUGCACCUUGUUAUAAAUAUAAAUAUUACUAUUGUUAUUGUUUUAAACAUUGUUACCUCCCCCUAAAAAAAAGUCCAGGCAGGUAGCCAAUCAGGUCAGCUAUUUGCAUUGAUUAGGGCUAUUGCCCUGUUGUAAAAGCUGUCCUUGAGUCUGUUUGUUCGGGACCUCAGCAGCCUGAACCUCCUGCCAGACGGCAGCAGCUUAAACACCCGGUGUCCUGGGUGUGUACGGUCUCGUAGGAUGCUGCGUGCCCUCUUGAGACAUGCCCUCUUGGAUAUGUAAAGAGUGAUAUUGUGGAGGAUUUCCUUAAGUUCAUGCCUGAAUCUGAGCGUACAGUGUUAGAGGCGUGGUGAUCAGACUUUAGCAUCGUGGACCAAGAAGAACUUAUAGACAUACUUGAUAACCACAGCUGCAGAAAGAUACCAACAGCCUACAAUGCCACUGAAGUCCUAUUGGAGCUUGCACACAAAACACUUGUCCAAGAGCCUGCGUAUGUUAUUGAACAGUGGGCAAGAACACUCAGCACUGCAUGGGAAAGCAUUUG
This is a long non-coding RNA of Oreochromis niloticus (Nile tilapia), 2178 nucleotides long. The record is from Ensembl. NCBI's taxonomy places the organism in Eukaryota, Metazoa, Chordata, Actinopteri, Cichliformes, Cichlidae.